RNAcentral lists this ribosomal RNA (252 nucleotides) under uncultured bacterium. RNAcentral's name for it is "partial 16S ribosomal RNA". It matches the Rfam family "Bacterial small subunit ribosomal RNA", at positions 524 to 776 of the family's 1533-position model. The record is from RNAcentral.
UACAGAGGGUGCAAGCGUUGUCCGGAUUUAUUGGGCGUAAAGCGAGCGCAGGCGGUUUGAUAAGUCAGAAGUAAAAGGCUGUGGCUCAACCAUAGUACGCUUUUGAAACUGUCAAACUUGAGUGCAGAAGGGGGGAGUGGAAUUCCAUGUGUAGCGGUGAAAUGCGUAGAUAUAUGGAGGAACACCGGUGGCGAAAGCGGCUCUCUGGCUUGUAACUGACGCUGAGGCUCGAAAGCGUGGGGAGCAAACAGG